UACAGAGGUCUCAACCGUUGUUCGGAUUCAUUGGGCGUAAAGGGUGCGUAGGCGGUCGUGCAAGUCGGAUGUGAAAUCUCAGGGCUCAACCCUGAAACUGCAUUCGAUACUGCGUGGCUAGAGUGCUGGAGAGGAGACUGGAAUUUACGGUGUAGCAGUGAAAUGCGUAGAUAUCGUAAGGAAGACCAGUGGCGAAGGCGGCUCUCUGGAACGCAACUGACGCUGAGACGCGAAAGCGUGGGGAGCAAACAGG
This 253-nucleotide ribosomal RNA is filed under the name uncultured bacterium. Its description in RNAcentral is "partial 16S ribosomal RNA". It matches the Rfam family "Bacterial small subunit ribosomal RNA", at positions 524 to 776 of the family's 1533-position model. The record is from RNAcentral.